This 513-nucleotide ribosomal RNA is filed under the name Triticum aestivum (bread wheat). RNAcentral describes it as "partial small subunit ribosomal RNA". Lineage: Eukaryota; Viridiplantae; Streptophyta; Magnoliopsida; Poales; Poaceae. The record is from RNAcentral.
GGGGGUAGAGAGAAGGGAGGAGGACAGGAGGCGUGCGGGAUCCCUGGCACCGCGGUCUAGCUCCCUCGGGCCGUUGCUUCCAGCGGCGGAGAGGCAGAAUUAGGCAGCCGACGAUCUAGGCUGACGCACCGGGCGACCACGGGAGGUCCCUGGGGGGGGGGGGCCGGCGGGGGGCGCAGCCACUCCUGUCGGUACCUACCCGGGGGACCUCGAGAAGACGGCAGCGGGCUAGACCGGCGGGCGGGUCAUCGGCCAGGCACGAGGCCUAGGCCGGUUGUCGGAGCGGAGGCUGAGCUAAGUCUGCGGGUGUCGGAAGGAGGCGGUGGACGCGGUACGUACUACGUACGGGGGUCCAGGCUGGCUAGGACGCGGCGAGUAGGAGUGACGAAAAGAAAACUCACUUGGAGUGAUGAAGAAAAACCGAGCGUCGAGCGUUCCUCCGGUCCGUGGAGCAGGUUGACUACGUGGCCGCCGCGCAUAGCCGCACCCCCACCCGGCCGCUGUGUGUUGCCG